GACGAACGCUGGCGGCGUGCCUAACACAUGCAAGUCAACUUGACUGAAGGAGCAAUCUGACAGUAGAGUGGCGCAAGGGUGCGUAACGCGUAAGUAACUUGCCCAAGGUAAGGAAUAACGUCGAGAAAUCGGCGCUAAUACCUCAUAAUGCAGCGGAUCCGCAUGGAUAUGUUGUUAAAGGUUUACCGCCUUGGGAUAGGCUUGCGUCUGAUUAGCUAGUUGGUGUGGUAACGGCACACCAAGGCUACGAUCAGUAACUGGUCUGAGAGGAUGAUCAGUCACACUGGAACUGAGACACGGUCCAGACUCCUACGGGAGGCAGCAGUGAGGAAUAUCGGGCAAUGCUCGAAAGAGUGACCCAGCAACGCCGCGUGGAGGAUGAAGGUAUUCUAUAUCGUAAACUCCUGUGAGAGCAGACGAAAGACAGAUUAUUAAUACUGGAUGACUGUAUGCUCAGAGGAAG
This 463-nucleotide ribosomal RNA is filed under the name uncultured bacterium. Its description in RNAcentral is "bacterial SSU rRNA". It matches the Rfam family "Bacterial small subunit ribosomal RNA", at positions 28 to 490 of the family's 1533-position model. The record is from RNAcentral.